ACCAGCAGCCAAAUCACCCUGUAACUCACAAUGGACAGCCCAGCUGGAGCUCAGCAGGUGUGAGCCUGGUCAGUACCUGAUUGGGAGACUCCUGGGAAAAACUAAGGUAGCUGCUGGAA
RNAcentral lists this ribosomal RNA (119 nucleotides) under Lepisosteus oculatus (spotted gar). Lineage: Eukaryota; Metazoa; Chordata; Actinopteri; Semionotiformes; Lepisosteidae. The record is from RNAcentral.